Molecule: ribosomal RNA, 460 nt
Filed under: uncultured bacterium
Lineage: Bacteria
Description: partial 16S ribosomal RNA
Rfam family: Bacterial small subunit ribosomal RNA
Source: RNAcentral
CCUACGGGGGACAGCAGUGAGGAAUAUUGGUCAAUGGGCGGGAGCCUGAACCAGCCAAGUCGCGUGAGGGAAGAAGGUCCUAUGGAUUGUAAACCUCUUUAGUCGGGGAGCAAUGCCGUGCACGUGUGCACGGGGGGAGAGUACCCGCAGAAAAAGCAACGGCUAACUCCGUGCCAGCAGCCGCGGUAAUCAGGAGGAUGCGAGGGUUAUCCGGCUUGAUUGUGUUUAACGGGUGCGUAGGCGGAGUGUCAAGUCAGCGGUAAAAUGUCCGGGCUCAACCAGGGCCUGCCGUUGACACUGGCGUUCUUGAGUGGGCGAGAAGUAAGCGGAAUGCGUGGUGUAGCGGUGAAAUGCAUAGAUAUCACGCAGAACGCCGAUUGCGAAGGCAGCUUACCGGCGCCCGACUGACGCUGAGGCACGAAAGCGUGGGGAUCGAACAGGAUUAGAUACCCUUGUAGUC